GCAAGUCGAACGACCCUUCGGGGGAGUGGCAAACGGGCGAGUAACGCGUACCUAAUCUGCCCAGAAGUUGGGAAUAACUAUGGAGACAUAGCUAAUUCCCAAUAGUCCCUACAAAAUGAAAAUAUGUAGGGUAAAGAUUUAUCGCUUCUGGAGGGGGGUGCGUCCUAUCAGCUUGUUGGUGAGGUAAUGGCUCACCAAGGCUAUGACGGGUAGCCGGUCUGAGAUGAUGUCC
RNAcentral lists this ribosomal RNA (232 nucleotides) under uncultured bacterium. RNAcentral's name for it is "partial 16S ribosomal RNA". It matches the Rfam family "Bacterial small subunit ribosomal RNA", at positions 57 to 305 of the family's 1533-position model. The record is from RNAcentral.